Molecule: transfer RNA, 89 nt
Filed under: Sphaeroforma arctica JP610
Lineage: Eukaryota; Ichthyosporea; Ichthyophonida
Rfam family: tRNA
About the family: Transfer RNA (tRNA) molecules are approximately 80 nucleotides in length.
Source: Rfam by way of RNAcentral
CAGUCAUAGCUCAACGGUAGAGCAGUUUGUCUGCAGCCCUCUGAGGACUGUAUUCAUUCAAGGUGUUGGUUCGAUUCCAACUGAACUGU